AACUCGAUCUCAAAUCAAGUAAGACUACCCGCUGAACUUAAGCAUAUCAAUAAGCGGAGGAAAAGAAACUAACAAGGAUUCCCCUAGUAACGGCGAGUGAAGCGGGAUGAGCUCAAAUUUAAAAUCUGGCUGGUUUACUAGUCCGAAUUGUAGUUUAUAGAAGCGUUUUCGGUGGCAGCCUGGGUAUAAAUCCUUUGGAAUAGGGUAUCAUAGAGGGUGAGAAUCCCGUCUUUGACUCAGUGCAUGCUACUAUGUGAUACGUUUUCAAAGAGUCGAGUUGUUUGGGAAUGCAGCUCAAAAUGGGUGGUAAAUUUCAUCUAAAGCUAAAUAUUGGCGAGAGACCGAUAGCGAACAAGUACCGUGAGGGAAAGAUGAAAAGAACUUUGAAAAGAGAGUUAAACAGUGCGUGAAAUUGUUGAAAGGGAAACGUUUGACACCAGUUAUGCGGGUGGAAAAUCAGUCUUUUGCAAUGGGGAGUUGUGGGCGUUCAGACCGCAAGGCUGGCGUUUGCUUCAUCUUUGUUGUAAGUGAUGCACUUUUUCAUUUGCAGGUCAACAUCAGUUUGCUUUGCUGGACAAAACCCCAAGGGAAGGUGGCAGCUUAGGCUGUGUUAUAGCCCUGGGGCGAUACAGUGGAGUGGACUGAGGUUUCGCAGUGUGUGCUCUCGGGCAAGGCUGACUGGGUGCUAUGGGAUCGUUCGGCGUACAAUGCAUGCAUUUUGCGUCGUGUCUUUUUCAUACUCGCUCAACUCGGCUCUUCCACACUUAGGAUGUUGACUUAAUGGUUUUAAACGACCCGUCUUGAAACACGGACCAAGGAGUCUAACAUAUAUGCAAGUGUUUGGGUGGCAAACCCAUGCGCGUAAUGAAAGUGAACGUAGGUGCGAUCCGCAAGGUGCAGCAUCGACCGAUCUUGAUAUUUUUGGAUAGAUUUGAGUAAGAGCAUAUAUGCUG
Molecule: ribosomal RNA, 953 nt
Filed under: uncultured zygomycete
Lineage: Eukaryota; Fungi
Description: eukaryotic LSU rRNA
Rfam family: Eukaryotic large subunit ribosomal RNA
Source: RNAcentral